RNAcentral lists this transfer RNA (77 nucleotides) under Leptinotarsa decemlineata (Colorado potato beetle). RNAcentral's name for it is "tRNA-Ile". Lineage: Eukaryota; Metazoa; Arthropoda; Insecta; Coleoptera; Chrysomelidae. The record is from RNAcentral.
UGCGCGAUGCCUGACAAAAGGAUGAUUUUGAUAGAAUCAAUCAUGUGUGAAAAUUGCCCGUCACCACACUCUCGCAA